Molecule: ribosomal RNA, 207 nt
Filed under: uncultured bacterium
Lineage: Bacteria
Description: partial 16S ribosomal RNA
Rfam family: Bacterial small subunit ribosomal RNA
Source: RNAcentral
AGCGCAGACGGCGAAGCAAGUCUGAAGUGAAAUGCAUGGGCUCAACCCAUGAAUUGCUUUGGAAACUGUUUGGCUUGAGUGUCGGAGGGGUAAGCGGAAUUCCUAGUGUAGCGGUGAAAUGCGUAGAUAUUAGGAGGAACACCGGAGGCGAAGGCGGCUUACUGGACGACAACUGACGCUGAGGUGCGAAAGCGUGGGGAGCAAACA